This 282-nucleotide long non-coding RNA is filed under the name Prunus persica (peach). RNAcentral describes it as "long non-coding RNA (PPER_LNC003688)". The record is from RNAcentral. Lineage: Eukaryota; Viridiplantae; Streptophyta; Magnoliopsida; Rosales; Rosaceae.
AACGGAGUACGCGUCACCGUGACCGAUAUCCCAAGCUGGUGCCUAAGAGAGGCCACCGCAUCAAACACUAUGGAGUGAAGUGGAAGAGCCAAAGGGGAGAUGGAAUCCUCUAUCUCAGUCCAUUCACAAGAGGACGACAGCAAAGACCGAGUGUCAGAACUACUACGAUCACCCGGACCAUCAUUGGUCCAAAGACCCUCCCACUGAGAAGAAUGAACAUGGCUCUUAUAUGGGGGGUGAAGGAGCAGAAAUUCAGCAUGCCAAAGAGCCUAUAGAGUUGCC